CUGAACCUCUCAAAGUGCUGGAGAGACAGCGAGAACCUGCCGGGAGGAGCCGCGGCGGGGUCCUGGAAUCGCUGUGGACCUGUGUUCCCCAACGUCCGUUGCUGGGCUGGCGGACUCCGGGAGCCGGUCUCCACCCUAGGCGGACUUCGGAAUUGAUCCUGGACUGCCGGGCGCCGCACCGGGCUCCGCAUCGGUCGCUUUUCCGCGGGGCCGGAGCCCCAACAGCUCUGCAAGCGAGAAUGCACGCGCUGCCCAGCCUGGACGCGCCCGGGACGGAGCGGCUUCUGCCCCGGGGAUUGGACGCGGCGGUGCCAGCCCGCAGGAGCGCGGUGGAGAGACUGGCAGCUGACCGCGCCAAGUACGUCCGGGGCUUGCCGCGGACAGCCGAUGACCCCGCUUCUGAGGGCAGCAGCCCUGGGGCGGGCGAAGGGCCGGUGGUCGACCUUCGGCCUCCGGCUCGCACUCCGGGUGCCGUGGCGCGCAGGGCAAUAGCGCGGAAGCCGCUGAGGCCCGACUCGCUGGUCAUAUACCGGCAGAAGUGCGAGUUCGUGCGUGGGCCGAGCACCGACAGCUUCGGGGGCGGCCUGGUGAAAAAGUUCUUGCCCGGGUCAGGCAAGGAGAAGACGUCGGCGUCCUCCGAGAAGUCCCGGGUGGGAGGAGAGGCCACGGCCAAGGGGGAGGAGGCGGCUCCAACCAACCCUGGUCCCGCAGCAACCCCCGGUUCCCCCGCGCGCCCCUGCGUCCGGGCAGCGACCAUGGCGCCCCCAGCGUGUCCCAGCGUCUCCGCAGUGCUCACAGCGACCCCAGCGCGUCCCAGCGUCUCCGCAGUGCUCACAGCGACCCCCUCGCCCCCAGCGCGUCCCAGCGUCCCGGCAGCGACCCCGGCGCCCCCCGCGCGUCCCAGCGUCUCCGCAGUGCUCACAGCGACCCCCUCGCCCCCAGCGCGUCCCAGCGUCCCGGCAGCGACCCAGGCGCCCCCCGCGCGUCCCAGCGUCUCCGCAGUGCUCACAGCGACCCCCUCGCCCCCAGCGCGUCCCAGUGUCCCGGCAGCGACCCCGGCGCCCCCAGCGCGUUCCAGCGUCCCUGAAGAGACCCCCGGGCUCCCAGCGCGCUACAGGAGCCCCGCCACACCCGGCAGCCCAGAGCCGCGAGUGACCAGGCGCAGGGGGCUGCAGCGCUCGCAGUCAGACCUCACCUCUCGCUACUCCAUGUCCGCGGCGGAAUUCGACAGCUUCUUUCAGUUCUGUGGUCUGGAGCCGGAGGUGGUGGAAGCGCUGGGGAGGGAGAACUUCUCCUCGGGCUCCGACCGCCUCACCUUAAAGGUUCGCAGCGUGAGCAUGGCCACCUCCGACAGCGGCUUCUCCCGGCAUAGCGGCAGCGACGAGGGGCUGCAGGAGGAGGAGCUGAUGGAGCAGGUGCCCAGCACCACCUCGGUCAUCGAAAGGAACGCCCGCAUCAUCAAGUGGCUGUACACCUGUAAAAAGGCCAAGGAGACCCUGGGGCCGCGGCUGCAGGGCCCAGCGUGACCGCUCCACCCAGAGGUCGGGACCCAAAGGACCGAGCCUUCCCACUAGCGAGGCCCCUGAAGCAUGUCUGGCGUGAUUGGAGACCCCAGGGCCAUGCUCCCUGCCUCGGGCUUUGUCCAGUGCACCCUGGUGACCACAAGGAACCCUCUGCAGGAGCUGGAGUACCUUCAGAAAGUCCGGAGCUGACAAACCAGGAAUUAACUGGGUGACUGCAGCCGCCACCCAGCCGAAGCUCCAGGAGGUGCUUCCUUGUUGGGGUGGCACCACCGGCCUCCAGAGGGCAGUGGACAAGGGACAGGGGAGCAGGGGGAGGGAUGUGUUUGGGGGCAUCGUUUUGACUGGUUUAUAGAGAGACACCACGAUGUAUUUUAACGGUAUCUAGAUGAAUUUUUAAAAGGAAAAAAAGGCGAAGAGCAUGAUGAGAACCAAGCCAUGGUAUUUACUGCCUCCAGUCAUCUCGGGCCAUUGGCACCAUCAAAUCGGAGUUUCUGGACCCAUGAGGCAGUCUCGUACUGGACACGUCCACACAUGCCCACCGACACUCCCAGCGUCACUGCCAUCAACCAGGCCCCGGGGUGACGCAGCACUUUCAAAAAUCACUGGAGAGCUGCCCGGUCUUCUGCUAAUGCCACUCCCACCGGGUGGCAGACUUUGCAAAACUGUGAAAAGAUGGGAGUUGAAGCUAAAAGUCCUCUUCUGGCACCUGCACAGUGUGUUGAGAGGCAGCAGAAGCACCGCCGGUGCCGUCAGCAGCAUCUGUCCGUUCACUGCCAUUUGGAAGCUUUGAGAAGGGGCGGGAACCCUGGCCCCGUGGCACCGGCCUGCCCCCCACGUGUGACCUGUCCCCUCCGAGGUGGAGCCAGGCACCCAGCCGGGGAAGGGCAUGUUGCAGGGGAGGGAGGCCUGGGCGCCGGACAGAGCAGAUGCUUGCAGAUGAGGGUCCCUGUGGCCCGACGGAACCGCGUGGGCACCCAGAGGGAGAUGACGGCCUUCAGGCCGGAGCCUUGGGCCCGAGUGUCUGUCGCUGUGGGCCACCCCAGAAAAACUCACCGCCGAGUCUUGCCAGACUCCGUGUUUCAUCAAAAUACAUCUCCUCAGGAACAAGUCUGUUAGAGGGAAGAGUAUGGUCAGGAGAGAAAUGCGUUUCUCAACGGUAGAAUACUGUUAAACCAAUUCAUUUUGUUAUAUUGGUGUAUGUUUUUAUGUUGAAUACUGUUUUUAUAACUUUUACUGUGAAAGUAGGUCUUUGAGUUACUUAAAUAUUUAUUUUCACACAGUUGUUAGUCUUCAAAUGGUUUUUAUUCACUUCAUAUAAUUUUAGUUUCACAGAAUAAUUUUAAGUCACUUUCUCCUUUCUCACUUUCUGUCCUUUCCUCCAGUUGUCUUCUUGUAUUUGUUGCUUAAUUGCCUUUUGGCCUUUGACUGACCAGAGCCCUCUGUGCUGGCCACGGCCUGCACCUCAGGAGGCCCUGCUGGCUGUCCCACGGGCCUUUCUCAGGGGGGACCCUGGAGGGACAGCCGGUUCUCUGCUCUAAGGUUUCACACACCACCACCACCACCACCCCCACCCCCCGCCGUCCGUCAUCCCUCUGAAAAUGCUGCUGUUCGCUGGGUUGCACUUAAUUAAAAAAGAUAAUGUCAAAAAUGAGAGGAACCUUUAAAGGGCCUUCUCCUGCCCCUAGUUUGUUUAUUCGCAUCCAUUUUGCAGGUGACUACUUUUAGUGAAAUUGCUGUGUGGCUUUCUACACUCUGAAUAGGAGGAACUGAAGCUGAAGUCAAAUUUAUCUUACGUCAAAAUGGGGCUGACUCACCACCCAUUUAAUAGAUGAAAAAAAUUUUUUAAGCAUUGGUUUAGUCACCAAGAUCUUCCAGAAGUGUCUGUGCCUGCGUGGGGCGUAGGCCAGGGAUGAGUCCCACGGAGGGGAUCCGUUGGAGGCCGGUGCAGGUCGGGCGGAGAGUGUGCCCGGGCGGAUCGGUGCUUCCCCGACCCUGAGGCGUCCCGGUUUGCGGAGCUACUGGAGACACUCGAGUUGUGCAGCUCGGGCUGAAUGAAGAAGCUCGUCAUCGCUUUUUUGAAAAGCGGCCCGGUGAGUAGCACAGUGGGAAGGAGAUGACGGUGGAAACGCGAGGAGCACGACCCGUUCCAAACCUUGGGCACCGCGCAGCAAGGCCCGGGGGAGCGUGGCCCGAGGGAGUCGCCCCGCUGCGCGCGCACAUGCGCAGUGUUCGCUUCCGUCCCGGGUGCGGGAAGAAAAAGACACUUUGCGAGAUGCUGCCCGGGCCGGCGGGCCAGCGCCCAGCGUGGAUGCAGUUUGUGAACUUGAACAGUGUGAAAACCAUCAGAGCAAGUGUCUGCCUACUGUGAUUUCUCCCACCUGUUGUCUUCUUCCUCCUCCGGAAGUCACGUCCCUGGAACAUCAGCGGAACGAGCGAGGCACCGCAGCAGUGAGUCACGUGAGUUUGUAGAAGUAAAAAUAAGCUGCAGACUGUUGCCUGAGAACUUACGUCUGAAAUCCAAAUCUUCAGGUAGGUGGAAAAUCCAUUCCUCCUCCAACGUCUCUUCCUGUCUGAUUAGCCAGCCAGCAGGACCUUUGAGCACAGAAACUCCCCCACGAUGCUGCUACUAGCUGGUUAGCCACACGAAACCAGAGCCGCCCUGGUUCCCUGGCCCACGGGCUUGUUUGGAAGACCCCACACUGAGCGGGUGUGCGGCCCCGAGCAGAGGCGGCGAAAAGGGGACAUUUCGGGCUCUGGGCGAGGCCCCAGCGGCACCGAAUCCCCAGGUCGGGAUCAGCGUCUGCAGGCACCUGAGGGGUCACAUGCGGUUUGUGCUCAGGAGUCUCUCCUGUGCUGACAUGCGUCACACGCGGGGACAGAAGCGCAGACUGAAACUUGGGGCCCAGAGGAAGGCAGAGCUGUGACGACGGCAUUGCCACAAGGCCCACCCUGGGGUGCGGAAGCCUGAGAGCUGGACGCGAGAAGCAGCCGUCCCAGGGCACACGGCGGUCCCCACGGCGUGUGGCCGUGUCCUGGGCGGGGCUCGCCUUCUCUCUCCCUGGUGUCGAGGAGCAAGGUCAGCAUCUGCUGAGGAAAUGGCAGAGAACCUGCAUUUCAGAAAACCUCUGUGUUAAAGAGAGUUGGUAGCAGUCAGCCCGUGUUCUUUCUGCUCAGGGUCCACUCGACAGAGCCACACGGGUCAGAGAACAUCCGUGAGGUGACGUGGCGGGGCUUCCGGCCACCUGUCCACACCCCUCAGUGCGCAGGCAGGGCCUGCCGCUCCUCCGGCCGCACCCAGGGCACCUCCCUGUCCCGCCCUCUCUCUGCUGGUUUUCGUCAUUGGAGCCAUCACAGAAGCAUCGGUUAGGACUCGGUCAGUAACUGAAUGAAAACUCCAAACCUCAGAGCAAAAACAUGUAUAUUUACUGUCCAGAACAACAAAAUGCUGCAACUGCUCAUUAAAAAAGCCACAGAAAAAUGCAGGUGCAAUUCUCAGAAACCUAGUUCCUGGUCAGAGCACAGCUCAGGCCCCUCGUGGUCCAUGGCUGUGCCCCCCGAGGGAGUCUUACUCGCCCCUGCUCUCUCGGGAGCUCUUUCCCCGCCCAAAGUUCCAUCUUCUCCUCGAGAGACCAAAUACCUGCCAGCUCUAGUGCAGGGCGAGCUCCACCUGUGCCCUCAUUCAAACUCUUGUGUCCCCAAGUCCCUCGGUCCAUCGGCCACCCCCACCGUCAGUGUCUGCAGCCCCUUCCUCUGUCCACGUGUUCCCGCGGCAUCAGCACCAUGAAAGGGGCCGCUGGGCCCACCCCUCUCUGUGACAGCAACAGGGCGGGGCGGGGGGAG
Molecule: RNA transcript, 5363 nt
Organism: Artibeus jamaicensis (Jamaican fruit-eating bat)
Lineage: Eukaryota; Metazoa; Chordata; Mammalia; Chiroptera; Phyllostomidae
Gene: FAM110C
Gene name: family with sequence similarity 110 member C
Exons: 4
Source: RefSeq, a predicted model, not a curated record